This 253-nucleotide ribosomal RNA is filed under the name uncultured bacterium. RNAcentral describes it as "partial 16S ribosomal RNA". It matches the Rfam family "Bacterial small subunit ribosomal RNA", at positions 524 to 776 of the family's 1533-position model. The record is from RNAcentral.
UACAGAGGUCCCAAGCGUUGUUCGGAUUUACUGGGCGUAAAGGGUGCGUAGGCGGUUGGGUAAGUCUGACGUGAAAUCUCCGGGCCUAACCCGGAAACUGCGUUGGAUACUACCUGACUAGAGGAAUGGAGGGGAGACUGGAAUACUUGGUGUAGCAGUGAAAUGCGUAGAUAUCAAGUGGAACACCAGUGGCGAAGGCGACUCUUUGGCCUGUAACUGACGCUGAGGCGCGAAAGCGUGGGGAGCAAACAGG